AGUGAACGCUGGCGGCGUGCUUAACACAUGCAAGUCGAACGAGAACGGAAUAUAGCUUGCUAUAUUUGUCAGCUAAGUGGCGCACGGGUGAGUAAUGUAUAGAUAACCUGCCCUUAAGAAAGGAAUAACAGUUGGAAACGACUGCUAAUGCCCUAUAUGCCUUUAAUACAUAAGUAUGCAAGGGAAACGCUUUAGUGCUUAAGGAUGGGUCUGUAUGGUAUCAGCUUGUUGGUGAGGUAAUGGCUCACCAAGGCUAUGACGCCUAACUGGUUUGAGAGGAUGAUCAGUCACACUGGAACUGAGACACGGUCCAGACUCCUACGGGUGGCAGCAGUGGGGAAUAUUGCACAAUGGACGAAGGUCUGAUGCAGCAACGCCGCGUGGAGGAUGACACAUUUCGGUGCGUAAACUCCUUUUAUAUAGGAAGAUAAUGACGGUACUAUAUGAAUAGGCACCGGCUAACUCCGUGCCAGCCGCCGCAGUAA
This 485-nucleotide ribosomal RNA is filed under the name uncultured bacterium. RNAcentral's name for it is "partial 16S ribosomal RNA". It matches the Rfam family "Bacterial small subunit ribosomal RNA", at positions 29 to 523 of the family's 1533-position model. The record is from RNAcentral.